CACCACCACCACUACCCCACUACCUUUUCCUUCAUUGCAGUGCACUAUAUUUCUCACACCCUUUGUGCUCCCUAUCCCUGUCCCUGCAGUACUCAGUUGCCUCCCAAGGGGGCGCACCUCACACUUUGAGAACAACUGUUUAAAAAAAGAACCCUGUUAAACCAUGCUGAACAAGAAAGCAGGACUAGGUGAUGAUGGAGGCAACCAGACUUAAUCAUUUUAUAAUUACGACACAGUAUGGUUACUGUACAUCUGUCAAAGUCAUCACAUUAACAUAACAUAACUACACGCCUGGUUAAGGGUCAUCAGUUUUGAAGUCCAUGACAUCCAUGUUAUAGCUGAGGUCCAGUGAACCUCAAUCUAAUAACAGAGUAGGAGUUAGAUGUCAUUUCACAUCCAAAACAGGUGGAUACACUGAGCACAGGUACAGGUACAGGUACACUCUUCCAGCAGCCACAGGCAGGAAAAUAAGAGGAAAACAGGCCUGGCUAUUAUGAAUAUGGAAUAAUUUAACACUACAGAGAGAGAGAGAGAGAGAGAGAGAGAGAGAGAGAGAGAGAGAGAGAGAGAGAGAGAGAGAGAGAUUUACCUAACCCUUUUCCUGAUGGCUAUGACACUAUAUUUACAUUUACUCAGUUGACACGCGCUUUUAUCCAAAGCAGGUAACAGUUAAACAGGGAUUUGAAUUCACACACACGCACAAGGGAUUAAACCCUUCAAGCCUGUGUGUGUGUGUGGUGUGUAUGUGUGUGUGUGUGUGUGGUGUGUAUAUGAGUGUGUGUGUGGUGUGUAUAUGGAUGUGUGUGUGUGUGUGUGUGUGUGUGUGUGUGUGUGUGUGUGUGUGUGGUGUGCAUAUGUGUGCGUGUGUGGUGUGUAUAGGAGUGUGUGUAUAGGAGUGUGUGUGUGUGUGUGUGUGUGUGUAUAGGAGAGUGUGUGUGUGUGUGUGUGUGUAUAGGAGUGUGUGUGUGUGUGUGUGUGUGUGUGUAUAGGAGUGUGUGUGUGUGUGUGUGUGUGUGUGUAUAGGAGUGUGUGUGUGUGUGUGUGUGUGUGUAUGUAUAGGAGUGUGUGUGUUCUCAGACUCCAGCUGUAGUGACGCUGGGAUGUUCUGACCCACUCACCUGGAUGUUGUGGUAGAGAAGAGAAGAUGCUGUGAAGUCCAGGGCCUGCCCGACAGCGCGGUGCUCGCGCGCUCCUCGUCUGCUGAGUAAAUCCGCACACUACACUCCCCGCCGCGCUUCCGGUCCUCUGAAUCCACACACACGUUCAUGGUUCAUGAUUUGCGUUUGUGUGCAGUCGGUUCAUCUGUAGUUCCUCAGCAGUGUGUGCACUGGACUGUUCCACUGACGGGCUUUAUAGCGUCGCUGUGUGUUACUAGAACCGGUCUGAUUCCGCCUCCGAAACCAGCACGAGCGCACCUGUCCUUUCCUCUGAUUGGUGGAGCGCCAGGAUCGGUCACGUGGUCUCCAGACAGGUAGGCCCGAUUUAGCUCGGCGCAGGAGCGGUGGUUGCCUUAGCAACGCGCUGCGAAUCUCUUUCCUUCUUUCAGUUCGGCUUUGUAUUGUAGUGUUUUUUUGCGAGGUGGGGAGCAUUCUUGAGGUUUCUGAACGAGCCCAACCCUUUACUACAAUGUCGCUGUUACUGCAGGAGUUUAGAGAAGCACAAGCAGCACACCUCUUUGACGUAGCUUAGGGGUUUUUUAAUUUAUUAUUAGGAGCUCGUGAAGCCAGUGCAUGCUGAUGGUGAG
Ictalurus punctatus (channel catfish) is the source of this 1744-nucleotide long non-coding RNA. Lineage: Eukaryota; Metazoa; Chordata; Actinopteri; Siluriformes; Ictaluridae. The record is from Ensembl.